AAUCCAUGUUGUGGGCACAGAUGGAAAGACUCUUGUAUCGCUUCCAAGCCUCUGAAUAAUAUUCAAUUACCAAUUGUUGGAAUGUAGUUAUCUCAUCUCGCUGCUU
RNAcentral lists this small nucleolar RNA (106 nucleotides) under Olea europaea subsp. europaea. Its description in RNAcentral is "Plant small nucleolar RNA R71". It matches the Rfam family "Plant small nucleolar RNA R71". Rfam says of the family: R71 is a member of the C/D box family of snoRNAs containing the C (UGAUGA) and D (CUGA) box motifs. The record is from Rfam by way of RNAcentral. Lineage: Eukaryota; Viridiplantae; Streptophyta; Magnoliopsida; Lamiales; Oleaceae.